RNAcentral lists this ribosomal RNA (400 nucleotides) under uncultured bacterium. Its description in RNAcentral is "bacterial SSU rRNA". It matches the Rfam family "Bacterial small subunit ribosomal RNA", at positions 355 to 748 of the family's 1533-position model. The record is from RNAcentral.
UGGGGAAUAUUGGACAAUGGGCGCAAGCCUGAUCCAGCAAUACCGCGUGUGUGAAGAAGGCCCUAGGGUUGUAAAGCACUUUCAAUUGGGAGGAAAAAACAAGGGCUAAUACCUCUUGUCUUGACAUUACCUUUAGAAGAAGCACCGGCUAACUCCGUGCCAGCAGCCGCGGUAAUACGGAGGGUGCAAGCGUUAAUCGGAAUUACUGGGCGUAAAGCGUGCGUAGGCGGCGCGUUAAGUCAGAUGUGAAAGCCCUGGGCUCAACCUGGGAACUGCAUUUGAAACUGGCGCGCUAGAGUUGAGUAGAGGUAAGUGGAAUUUCAGGUGUAGCGGUGAAAUGCGUAGAUAUCUGAAGGAACACCAGUGGCGAAGGCGACUUACUGGACUCAAACUGACGCUG